UGUUAAUUGUUUAGGUGUAUUUAUCACUGAAUACACAGUUGAUGUGAGUUCUUCAAAUUACACUGAGACCUU
Molecule: small nucleolar RNA, 72 nt
Filed under: Castor canadensis (American beaver)
Lineage: Eukaryota; Metazoa; Chordata; Mammalia; Rodentia; Castoridae
Description: Small nucleolar RNA SNORD45 (ENSCCNG00000028200.1)
Source: RNAcentral